GACGAACGCUGGCGGCGUGCUUAACACAUGCAAGUCGAACGGAAAGGCCCUGCUUUUGUGGGGUGCUCGAGUGGCGAACGGGUGAGUAACACGUGAGUAACCUGCCCUUGACUUUGGGAUAACUUCAGGAAACUGGGGCUAAUACCGGAUAGGAGCUCCUGCUGCAUGGUGGGGGUUGGAAAGUUUCGGCGGUUGGGGAUGGACUCGGGGCUUAUCAGCUUGUUGGUGGGGUAGUGGCUUACCAAGGCUUUGACGGGUAGCCGGCCUGAGAGGGUGACCGGCCACAUUGGGACUGAGAUACGGCCCAGACUGCUACGGGAGGCAGCAGUGGGGAAUAUUGCACAAUGGGCGGAAGCCUGAUGCAGAAACGCCGCGUGCGGGAUGACGGCCUUCGGGUUGUAAACCGCUUUCGCCUGUGACGAAGCGUGAGUGACGGUAAUGGGUAAAGAAGCACCGGCUAACUACGUG
Molecule: ribosomal RNA, 468 nt
Filed under: uncultured bacterium
Lineage: Bacteria
Description: partial 16S ribosomal RNA
Rfam family: Bacterial small subunit ribosomal RNA
Source: RNAcentral